RNAcentral lists this ribosomal RNA (468 nucleotides) under uncultured bacterium. RNAcentral describes it as "partial 16S ribosomal RNA". It matches the Rfam family "Bacterial small subunit ribosomal RNA", at positions 28 to 507 of the family's 1533-position model. The record is from RNAcentral.
GACGAACGCUGGCGGCGUGCUUAACACAUGCAAGUCGAACGGAAAGGCCCUGCUUUUGUGGUGUUCUCGAUUGGCGAACGCGUGAGUAACACGUGAGUAACCUGCCCUUGACUUUGGUAUAACUUCAGGAAACUGGGGCUAAUCCCGUAUAGCAUCUCCUGCUGCAUGGUGGGCGUUGGAUAGUUUCGGCGGUUGGGGUUGGACUCGCGGCUUAUCAGCUUGUUGGUGGGGUAGUGGCUUACCAAGGCUUUGACGGGUAGCCGGCAUGAGAGGGUGAACGGCCACAAGGGGACUGAGAUACGGACCAGAGUCCUACGGGAGGCAGCAGUGGGGAAUAUUGCACAGUGGGCGGAAGCCUGAGGCGGAAACGCCGCGCGCGGGAAGACGGCCUUCGGGUUGUAAACCGCUGUCGCCUGUGACGAAGCGGGAGUGACGGUAAUGGGUAAAGAAGCACCGGCUAACUACGUG